RNAcentral lists this ribosomal RNA (491 nucleotides) under uncultured bacterium. RNAcentral's name for it is "partial 16S ribosomal RNA". It matches the Rfam family "Bacterial small subunit ribosomal RNA", at positions 29 to 506 of the family's 1533-position model. The record is from RNAcentral.
AGUGAACGCUGGCGGUAGGCCUAACACAUGCAAGUCGAACGGCAGCACAGUAAGAGCUUGCUCUUACGGGUGGCGAGUGGCGGACGGGUGAGGAAUACAUCGGAAUCUACUUUUUCGUGGGGGAUAACGUAGGGAAACUUACGCUAAUACCGCAUACGACCUACGGGUGAAAGCAGGGGAUCUUCGGACCUUGCGCGAUUGAAUGAGCCGAUGUCGGAUUAGCUAGUUGGCGGGGUAAAGGCCCACCAAGGCGACGAUCCGUAGCUGGGCUGAGAGGAUGAACACCCCCACUGGAAAUGAGAACCGGUCCCGGCCCCUACGGGAGGCAGCAGUGGGUAAUAUGGGAAAAUGGGGGCAAGCCUGACCCAGCCAUCCCGGGUGGGUGAAGAAAGCCUUCGGGUUGAAAAACCCUUUUUUUGGGAAAAAAAAGAAGACGGUUAAAACCCCGCUGUUUCGACGGUACCAAAAGAAAAAGCACCGGACAACUCCGU